AUGGGGUACUGUCAAUGUAAUGGUGACCACACGGUGUUCUACAGACACUCACUCUCUAAUCGAAAGAUCACCAUUCUUGCUGUUUAUGUGGAUGACAUUAUCAUCACUGGAGAUGAUGAGGAGGAAAUAAAGAGAUUGAAGGGGUUUCUGAGCAAUGAGUUUGAGGUGAAGGAUUUGGGCAACCUAAAAUACUUCCUUGGGAUUGAAGUGGCCCAGACAGAGAAGGGGAUAUCUUUGUGCCAAAGGAAAUACACCUUGGAUAUCUUGAGUGACAUGGGCAUGAUAGGAUGCCGUGCAACCCCUACACCGAUUGAACAAAAUCAUCAAGUGACAGCUUAG
Molecule: ribosomal RNA, 339 nt
Filed under: Triticum aestivum (bread wheat)
Lineage: Eukaryota; Viridiplantae; Streptophyta; Magnoliopsida; Poales; Poaceae
Description: partial small subunit ribosomal RNA
Source: RNAcentral